AUAGAAGCAAAGUAUCUCAUUGGUCUUUGAUUACAGCUUAAUUUAUGUGUUUCAGUCUGUGCCUGUUAAGCAAGACCCAGAUGCAGUACAUCCUGCACCGUAUGCCUAAAUGUGUAAUCAUCACAUUGAAGAAGCCUCAGUGAGAGUCGGCCUUUUGGAAAAAUGUUCAGGUUGAAGAGAAUGAGGAGGACUUGGGACAACUGAGGACUGGGCAGACAGACAGAUAAAAGGAAAAGGAGCUGGGGCAAAGCGCAAUGUUGCAGAGUAUGUCUUGAGGAGAGUGUUGAAGGAGGAGGUCGUGGCCUUCUGGAUCAGUUCAAAGAGAGCGUUCUAUGUGUAAGGAACAGCAUGGAAGAGGGCAUGGAUAUAUUUGUGUGAGAUGCUGACAAAUGGGCAGACUAGGCUGACGUUCUUGGUGGAUCAGAGGAAGCGGGGUGGGAGGGUGUUGCGGUAAAACACAAAAGACCGAACCGGCAGGGAGGAAUAGAUUCAUGAAGGGCUUUGAAGGUGAGGACAAGAAGCUUGAACUUGAUGCAAUAGGUGUCAGGCUUUGGUUGAUUUUUCAGAAAACUUGUGCCCCAUUAAUGAAGCCAUUAAGAAGAGUCUAGCUGAUGUUAUUGUUUUACACUAAACUGAGGAGUCACUCUUCCAACUGUUAGGUUUUUACCUACAGCUUUUGCUGCUGUCUUAGGUGACAAUCCUAAGUAGCUUUAUGUGAGUAAUUAAGAUAGAAAAGAGGUUUUAAAAACUGCAUGUCUUCUGCACCGCAAAACAAAAGGUCCCACACAGCGAAGGUCCCACACAGGGAUAAUUUAUAUCUCAUGUGUGCCAAGGGAGAUCCAGGGCAGAUCCAUACAAUUCAUCAGGAAGAUGAGAGGAAGAGAGAUGUAUGAGGAAUGGGGCCAAUAGGUCUAUGCACUUUACUGAAUUUCUGAUGAUGUGUUAAACCUGGUAAAUUCAAAAAAACCCUUAUAGAUCACACUAUUGAGAAGAAGACUGCAAAGUACUGCUGCUCUAGCAAUAUUGAAAUGUUAAGCUACAAUAAGGCAAAAAUGUUUGGCUUGUUUCAGAUAUUCUCAAUGCCUCUUACAUAGAAAAAGAGAAAAAUGUUGUGACCCAAAUCUGUAAGUAAAUAGCUGC
This is a long non-coding RNA of Trachemys scripta elegans, 1140 nucleotides long. RefSeq lists it as uncharacterized. The transcript has 3 exons. NCBI's taxonomy places the organism in Eukaryota, Metazoa, Chordata, Testudines, Emydidae. The record is from RefSeq and is a predicted model, not a curated record.